This 253-nucleotide ribosomal RNA is filed under the name uncultured bacterium. RNAcentral's name for it is "partial 16S ribosomal RNA". It matches the Rfam family "Bacterial small subunit ribosomal RNA", at positions 524 to 776 of the family's 1533-position model. The record is from RNAcentral.
UCCGUAGGGUCCGAGCGUUGUCCGGAAUUAUUGGGCGUAAAGAGCUCGUAGGCGGUUUGUCGCGUCUGCUGUGAAAUCCCGAGGCUCAACCUCGGGUCUGCAGUGGGUACGGGCAGACUGGAGUGCGGUAGGGGAGAAUGGAAUUCCUGGUGUAGCGGUGGAAUGCGCAGAUAUCAGGAGGAACACCGAUGGCGAAGGCAGUUCUCUGGGCCGUAACUGACGCUGAGGAGCGAAAGUGUGGGGAGCGAACAGG